GGGAGCACAGGAUCCUGGGCUGUGUCCCCUGGCGCCCUGGGAUCUGGGGCCUGUGCUGCUGGAAUCGUGCUCCCGGGGCGCGGCUCCU
RNAcentral lists this microRNA precursor (88 nucleotides) under Canis lupus familiaris (dog). RNAcentral's name for it is "mir-8799 microRNA precursor family". It matches the Rfam family "mir-8799 microRNA precursor family". The record is from Rfam by way of RNAcentral. RNAcentral also lists the same sequence under 1 other name. Lineage: Eukaryota; Metazoa; Chordata; Mammalia; Carnivora; Canidae.